CUCGGUGCCGGCCCCAUUUGGGGUGAAAAAGGGAACAAGGCGCGCUACGGCGUAACCUUGGCUGUACCCGCAACUGUAGGCGGUGAGCACCGGGCCCACGAAGCCACUGGUCAACGACCGGGAAGGCAGGCCCGAUGUGAAGAACCGCAAGCCAGGAAACCUGCCGGCAC
This 170-nucleotide non-coding RNA is filed under the name marine eukaryotic metagenome. The record is from RNAcentral.